AGAACCAAGAAGUGGUCAGUCUUGUCUAUUAAAAUAAGCUGGGAGAGGAAACCGUGUCUCAUUAACCUCCUCCGCACAUUCACUGGGUGACAGGAGAACUUCUGGAGAUGGUUCGAGCCCACAGCUCCAUGCAGAGAAAUGGGCAAGUGGAAGUGCAUCACGUGUAACAUCUGGGAACGGCGCGGAGGCAGCCAGGCAGCCGUUGCAGGGGUUUGGCACCUCGUGCGGGAAUGAGCACACGCAGGUUGGAUUUAUAGCUAGCGGGACCACACGAAGUCUCCUUUGUGUGCUGUGGGAAUACUCAGAGGAGGACAUUAAAGUUUAUCACUGAAGUUCAGGUGCCAGGUAAGCAAACAGUUUCUCAGGCCAAACCCAAUCAUUUAAGGCAGUUAUUCCAAACACAAAAUCAACCCGAAAGUAUUAAAUAACUUUUUAGCCUGGAUCCUCCGCCAGGAGGGGAACAUUUCCUGACAUUGGAUGGCAGCCUAGAA
Long non-coding RNA from Grus americana (Whooping crane), 491 nucleotides. RefSeq lists it as uncharacterized. NCBI's taxonomy places the organism in Eukaryota, Metazoa, Chordata, Aves, Gruiformes, Gruidae. The transcript has 3 exons. The record is from RefSeq and is a predicted model, not a curated record.